RNAcentral lists this ribosomal RNA (253 nucleotides) under uncultured prokaryote. Its description in RNAcentral is "partial 16S ribosomal RNA". It matches the Rfam family "Bacterial small subunit ribosomal RNA", at positions 525 to 777 of the family's 1533-position model. The record is from RNAcentral.
ACAGAGGUGGCAAGCGUUGUUCGGAAUUACUGGGCGUAAAGGGCGCGUAGGCGGUCUUUUAAGUUCCGUGUGAAAUCCCUCGGCUCAACUGGGGAACGGCACGGGAAACUGGAAGGCUUGAGUUCGGUAGGGGAGACUGGAAUUCCUGGUGUAGCGGUGAAAUGCGCAGAUAUCAGGAGGAACACCGGUGGCGAAGGCGGGUCUCUGGGCCGAUACUGACGCUGAGGAGCGAAAGCGUGGGGAGCGAACAGGA